GUUGAACGCUGGCGGCAUGCUUUACACAUGCGAGUCGAACGGCAACGCGGGGCAACUUGGCGGCGAGCGGUAACCGGGUGCGUAAUAGUACGGAGCGUACCCCGAACUGGUAGGUCACGUAUAGCUUGGUACGCCAGUACCGCAUACGUUCUACGGUAGUAAAUGGGGGACCUUAGUGCCUCAUGCCUUUGGUGCGGCCGAUGUCGGAUUAGCUAGUUGGUGAGGUAAUGGCUCACCAAGGCGACGAUCAGUAGCUGGUCUGUGAGGACGACCAGCCACACUGGGACUGAGACACGGCCCAGACGCCUACGGGAGGCAGCAGUGGGGAAUGUUGGACAAUGGGCGCAAGCCUGAUCCAGCAAUGCCGCGUGAGUGAAGAAGGCCUUCGGGUUGUAAAGCUCUUUUGUCAGGGAAGAAACGGCUGAGGAUAAUACCUUCGGCUAAUGACGGUACCUGAAGAAUAAGCACCGGCUAACUACGUG
This 482-nucleotide ribosomal RNA is filed under the name uncultured bacterium. RNAcentral's name for it is "partial 16S ribosomal RNA". It matches the Rfam family "Bacterial small subunit ribosomal RNA", at positions 28 to 507 of the family's 1533-position model. The record is from RNAcentral.